AUGCGCUGGGUCGCUGAACCACCGGCUUGUGUUGAUAUUGUGUCCAGAAUUGGUGGGUUCUUGGUCUCACUGACUUCAAGAAUGAAGCUGUGGACCCUCACGGAAGAAGUAAACCAAGAAAGAUGAAGAUGUGGAAUGCGGAAAAUAGGAGACACAACACAAGAGAGAGAGAAAUUCUUAAAAGUGUAGUGAUGGAAAAUCCUAGGAUGAGAAAAUUGAAUCAGGCCUAGAGGGCAACCAGUCAAGACAGUUGCAGGGAAGCAGCUUACAAGAGAGUGUUCUUCAAGAGUCUCACUCUUGUCACCAGGCUGGAGUGCAUUGGCGCGAUCUUGGCUCACUGCAUCCUCUGCCUCCCGGGUUCAAGCGAUUCUCCUGCCUCAGCCUCCCGAGUAGCUGGAACUACAGGUGCUGGACAAAGAUCAGACCAGAUGUGAGGAAUGCUGAAAAUGAAAGUCUCUUCUGAUAUGUUCACCAAAGAAAGCGAUCCCUUAGCCCAGAUCUUGGCAAGAACCAGUGUCAAAGGGAUGUUCAUCCAGUAAUCCUGAAUUGUUGGACACCCAAGAAGAGAAUCAAGAUGAAAAUCUGUGCAGUUCUGUGAGAUUUCUGUAGUACUUUGUUCUGCUUACACUUCAAAAGCAAGCUAGACUUUCAACUUAGUAUAGCAUUGUCAUUUCCACUGAUGUAUUUCCUGAGUAUAGAUACCAACUCUCCUGAUUUCCUCAGGACUAAAGGAGUUUCUGGGACAAGAAAAUUAUAGUUUUAAAAACAGGACAGCCCCAGCAAACUGGGACAAGUUGGUCACACUAUGCAUGAGGAUGUGUAUAUAUGCA
RNAcentral lists this long non-coding RNA (830 nucleotides) under Homo sapiens (human). RNAcentral's name for it is "SPANXA2 overlapping transcript 1". Lineage: Eukaryota; Metazoa; Chordata; Mammalia; Primates; Hominidae. The record is from RNAcentral.